UUAGGAUAUAUAUUUAAGUAAUUAGUGGAUGACCGAUUUCUUUCAAUGUGGGUGAAUGAAUGUGUGUGUGUACAUGGUGUGUGUGGGGGGUGGGGGAGGUUUUUGAGGGAGGUUUUUGUGUUGGUACAUUAUCUGUGUAAAUGUAUCUUGUGCUGUGAUUUAUGUUAAUUUAAAAAGAAAAAAGUCAGUAUUUAGAUGUGAGAUUUAUACUGUCUUGUUCAAUAUUUUAGGUGAGCCUUCAACAGACGUAAACCAUCCCGACUUUCAGCCCACUAUUUUCAACUUUACACCAUUGAACAAGUCAACUCCGACAUCGUUGGAAAGGUUCGAGCGGGUGGCCAAACGGCGAAGAAGAUUGGCAUUGACACCCUGUCAAACGAAGGAAAAUGUAUCGCACAGCCAUCAGGAACAAACAGCCGCCCAGGCCUUGUUGGAUUUGGCACAUCAUACCCCAUUGUACAAAGAUUCAGGAACAGAUCCUGACCCUGACCCUCUUCAGCAGCAGUAUGAUCAGCUAAAAAGGGAUUACGCAGGACUUCAACAGGACUACCAACGUGUUCUGGAUGAAAAUCUGAGUCUCAAGGCCGAACGUGAAGCAAGUUGGUUUACCUACACAAAUCUCAACAACUCGGUGACAAAAACAUUGACAGGACUUCCUACUGUGGACUUAUUCCAGUGGUUAAUGUCCCUUGUGUGUCUUUCUCUGAAACCAGUCGGUAAAUUGUGUUCUGGUGACAUUCUUCUGCUGGUUUUGAUGAAACUGAAACUUGGCUGUACCAAUAAAGACUUGGCAAUACGGUUUAAGGUUGCCCCGACACAGGUGUCUGCCAUCUUGAAUAGCGCCAUACCCAUAAUAGCUAAAAAACUGGAAUUCCUCAUACGGUGGCCUACAAAAGGUGAGGUGCUGAAGAAUAUGCCAAAGAUGUUCAGGCAGCACUACAGGAGAGCUAGAGUAAUUAUUGACUGUAGUGAGAUUUUCAUUCAGCGACCUGCGAAUUUGAGUGCACGUGCAAAGACAUGGUCCAACUACAAGCAUCAUAACACAGCAAAAUUCUUGAUUGGCAUCACCCCUUAUGGAACGGUUAGUUUUGUUUCUUCCAACUGGGGUGGACGAGUUUCUGAUAAAGAACUGACCAAACAAUCCGGGUUUUAUGAUAAACUUGAGCCUGGUGAUUUGGUGUUGGCAGAUAGAGGAUUUUUAAUUGCAGAAGAAUUGGCUGCUCAUGGGGCAUCAUUAGCCAUGCCUCCAUUUGCCAAGGGAAAGCAACAAUUCUCGCAAAAAGAAGUGGAAGAGGCCAGGCGCUUAUCAAAGCUGAGGAUUCAUGUUGAACGAGCAAUUGAGCGUGUAAAACGAUUUGGAAUUUUGAAAAAUGUUAUGCCAUUAACACUGUCUCGUCAUAUUGAUUCUAUACUGAUCAUAUGUUGUGCAAUUACAAAUGUUUUGCCUAAACUGUUGAAGUGACACCU
Molecule: long non-coding RNA, 1467 nt
Organism: Fundulus heteroclitus (mummichog)
Lineage: Eukaryota; Metazoa; Chordata; Actinopteri; Cyprinodontiformes; Fundulidae
Exons: 2
Source: RefSeq, a predicted model, not a curated record